GGCGGACGGGUGAGUAACGCGUGGGAAUCUGCCUACUAGCGGGGGAUAGCCCGGAGAAAUCCGGAUUAAUACCGCAUACGCCCUACGGGGGAAAGCUGGGGAUCUUCGGACCUGGCACUAGUAGAUGAGCCCGCGUUAGAUUAGCUUGUUGGUGGGGUAAUGGCCUACCAAGGCAACGAUCUAUAGCUGGUCUGAGAGGACGAUCAGCCACACUGGGACUGAGACACGGCCCAG
RNAcentral lists this ribosomal RNA (234 nucleotides) under uncultured bacterium. Its description in RNAcentral is "partial 16S ribosomal RNA". It matches the Rfam family "Bacterial small subunit ribosomal RNA", at positions 97 to 334 of the family's 1533-position model. The record is from RNAcentral.